UACGUAGGGUGCGAGCGUUGCCCGGAUUUAUUGGGCGUAAAGCGCUCGCAGGUGGUCCGAUGCGUCGUGCGUGAAAGACCCCGGCUCAACUGGGGAGGGUCGUGCGAUACGGUCGGACUGGAGGCCAGUAGGGGGAUGCGGAAUUCCGGGUGUAGUGGUGGAAUGCGUAGAGAUCGGAAAGAACACCAACGGCGAAAGCACUCUGCUGGGCCGACACUGACACUGAGAGACGAAAGCUAGGGGAGCGAAUGGG
RNAcentral lists this ribosomal RNA (253 nucleotides) under uncultured bacterium. RNAcentral's name for it is "partial 16S ribosomal RNA". It matches the Rfam family "Bacterial small subunit ribosomal RNA", at positions 524 to 776 of the family's 1533-position model. The record is from RNAcentral.